UAAUACGGAGGAUCCAAGCGUUAUCCGGAUUUAUUGGGUUUAAAGGGUGCGUAGGCGGUUUAUUAAGUCAGGGGUGAAAGACGGCAGCUUAACUGUCGCAGUGCCUUUGAUACUGAUGAACUUGAAUAUACUAGAAGUAGGCGGAAUGUGACAAGUAGCGGUGAAAUGCAUAGAUAUGUCACAGAACACCGAUUGCGAAGGCAGCUUACUAUGGUAUUAUUGACGCUGAGGCACGAAAGCGUGGGGAUCAAACAGGAUUAGAUACCCUGGUAGUCCACGCCCUAAACGAUGAACACUCGAUGUUGGCGAUAUACGGUCAGCGUCAAAGCGAAAGCGUUAAGUGUUCCACCUGGGGAGUACGCCCGCAAGGGUG
This 373-nucleotide ribosomal RNA is filed under the name uncultured bacterium. RNAcentral's name for it is "bacterial SSU rRNA". It matches the Rfam family "Bacterial small subunit ribosomal RNA", at positions 521 to 896 of the family's 1533-position model. The record is from RNAcentral.